UGCGGGGGGAGCAAGCGUUGUUCGGAUUUACUGGGCGUAAAGGGCGCGUAGGCGGUCAGCACAAGUCAAUUGUGAAAUCUCCGAGCUUAACUCGGAAAGGUCAACUGAAACUGUGCGACUAGAGUGCGGAAGGGGCAACUGGAAUUCUUGGUGUAGCGGUGAAAUGCGUAGAUAUCAAGAGGAACACCUGCGGCGAAGGCGGGUUGCUGGGCCGACACUGACGCUGAAGCGCGAAAGCCAGGGGAGCGAACGGG
This 254-nucleotide ribosomal RNA is filed under the name uncultured bacterium. Its description in RNAcentral is "partial 16S ribosomal RNA". It matches the Rfam family "Bacterial small subunit ribosomal RNA", at positions 524 to 776 of the family's 1533-position model. The record is from RNAcentral.